UGAUGGAUGGUCCUUUUCAGCUCCCUUCUGUGCUCAAUAUCUUCUAUUUGCUCCUUCAGGUCCAUUUACUCCCUUCCUUCCUCUGCUCUGCUUUAAGGCCUCUAUCAGUGGCCCCAUGCUUUCUGGCUUCUGGAUGGGUUUGACCAAUGGAGAAAGGGAAAACACUGAAAAUGAGGAAUGUAUUUCAUCAGCUCCCCUCCUGUGGGGUCACCUUGGGCUGGCUGCAUUGGUUUCACUGAUCCAGUUAUUAGGUGCUCCAGUGGAUGAGUUUCUAAUCUGCAACUGCAGGAAGAGUGGGAGGCACGUGGUGGAGGCCUGUGACAUCCAAUGCAAGAACCAAAAGAUGUACAGCUGUUGAUGAAGGAAGGGAAUGCUGUUUAGUGUGGGUGGAGAAACAGUAUCUUUGGAAAGGAAGGCCGGAUCCUGGCAGGAAGGAAAUUCAGAUCUCAUGUACUGAUCCUGAAAAUAGUAUAGAAGUAACCUGAAGUCUUCAUAGAGUUUGUGUUCUGCAAUGAUCAACCCAACCAUGGUUCUUCCUAUCCCUCACGGGUAUGUUUGCAAAACUACAGAGCCACAAGGAGACACCUUUGGUUAUCAAACGUGGCUGGGCAUAACCAUCCACAAGUAAGGGAGCACAGACCUGCCCUAAAUAAUUUUGCUUCAUUAACCUGCAGGAUUAUUUUGAAGUGCUUUAAGGCGAAAAAAACAAGUUACAGGAUAUAAUUGCUGAAAACUUUAACAGAAUUUUCAUAAAGCCUUUAAAAGAUUAAAUCAUAAAAGAAGAUCAGAGAGGACUACUGGAGAUUAAAAAUUGUUUAUGGAAGAAAACACAAAGAAUAAGCAUCUAUGGGACAUUUUCUGUAUGAUGAAAGGUAAAUGGAUACCUGAAGGACCAAACUCUGAGUAGAGAGCUUUAGUAUGUUUAUGACCUAUGAGGGAAAGGAUUGCAAACUCUGCUAGUGAUACAAGGUUAUUUAGAUUGAAGAUGAAUAAAAACUCAGAACCUAAUUUCAGAUUAAAAGAAGAUUUUUCAAAUUCUUAACAUACGUAAAGAGCUUUAAAACCCUUGACAUGAGAGUGCAUAUAUGUAAGAAUAGUUUCAUUGCUUACUCCAUUCAGUAGUUAUUAUAUUCAAUCUCAUGAAGGCCAUCAUUUUAGUCACCGGCCAAGAAAUUUCUGUAAAGUUUGUGAGAUGCAGAAAUCCUUGGGAUGUAUUUUAUUGGGUGCUUUAAAUGUACUAUAUAAAGCAUUAGUGAGGAGAAAUUAUAAAAAUUAUAACACAAUAACCCUUUCAUUUUUAAAAUGAGUUAUCUGUAUAUUAAGUGCUGAUGGUGUAAAUUAAAAGCACAUAGGGAGAGCUUAAAUAUAUGAGUGGGGCACAAAAUGCAUACUCUUAUUUUCCAUUUUCUCUGGCCACUUUCAGGCAUAAUACAUAUCAAUUAACUUUCUAAUCCAUUAAUAAGGAUGGUUUCUCACCUGCACGUGCUCAAAUGGAAGUCUAGAAAUAUCCCAGUUCAAGACUGCAGUGGGUUGUUAUCUUGCCUUUUUCCUUUAGUUUAUGAUUUAUUGUUGAAAUGAAGCCAUACUGUGUCUAGUGUAACUGUACACUUUAUUUGAGGGUGUAGAAUUAUUAUAUCUUAAUAAAAAAGGUUUUUCUGUUUAUGUACUUUGUGACAUAGGUGAAUUUACCCAGAAAACUUAUAAUAAGAAAACUGCACAAGUUACUGGGCGUCUGAAGAUGUCAGGAGGCAUCAUGGAAUUUUUAAUGUGCUGGAAUGUAAAAGAACCACUUGCUGAGUUUAAGUAAGCCCUGUAAUAUCUAUCCCAUGCCAG
Pan paniscus (pygmy chimpanzee) is the source of this 1833-nucleotide long non-coding RNA. Lineage: Eukaryota; Metazoa; Chordata; Mammalia; Primates; Hominidae. The record is from Ensembl.